This 890-nucleotide ribosomal RNA is filed under the name uncultured eukaryote. RNAcentral describes it as "SSU rRNA". It matches the Rfam family "Eukaryotic small subunit ribosomal RNA", at positions 564 to 1474 of the family's 1831-position model. The record is from RNAcentral.
GUGCCAAGCAGCCGCGGUAAUUCCAGCUCCAAUAGCGUAUAUUAAAGUUGUUGCGGUUAAAAAGCUCGUAGUUGGAUCUCGGCGGGCAGGGGGUGGUUCGCUCUUCAGCGCUACUGCCCCGCUUUGCCCGUGUGAUUGGCGGAGGUUUCGGGGUGCUCUUCGUUGAGUGACUCGGAGCGCCGUCAGGUUUACUUUGAAAAAAUUAGAGUGCUCAAAGCAGGCUUUUCACGCUUGAAUAUUCGUGCAUGGAAUAAUGGAAUAGGAACUCGUUUCUAUUUUGUUGGUUUUCGGAAAUCGAGUUAAUGAUUAACAGGGACAAUUGGGGGCAUUAGUAUUCAGACGACAGAGGUGAAAUUCUUGGACCGUCUGAAGACUGACUACUGCGAAAGCAUUUGCCAAGAGUGUUUUCAUUAAUCAAGAACGAAAGUUAGAGGUUCGAAGGCGAUCAGAUACCGCCCUAGUUCUAACCAUAAACGAUGCCAGCUAGCGAUCUGCCGAGUUUUUUUUGUAGGCUCCGCAGGAAGCUUUCGGGAAACCAAAGCUUUUGGGUUCCGGGGGAAGUAUGGUUGCAAAGCUGAAACUUAAAGGAAUUGACGGAAGGGCACCACCAGGAGUGGAGCCUGCGGCUUAAUUUGACUCAACACGGGAAAUCUCACCAGGCCCGGACACUGGAAGGAUUGACAGAUUGAGAGCUCUUUCUCGAUUCGGUGGGUGGUGGUGCAUGGCCGUUCUUAGUUGGUGGAGUGAUUUGUCUGGUUAAUUCCGAUAACGAACGAGACUCUGUCCUGCUAAAUAGUUGGGUCGUCCUUCGUGCGAUCCAAGUUCUUCUUAGAGGGACUGGCUGCGUCUAGCAGCACGAGAUUGAGCAAUAACAGGUCUGUGAUGCCCAA